This is a non-coding RNA of Crenichthys baileyi (White River springfish), 74 nucleotides long. Lineage: Eukaryota; Metazoa; Chordata; Actinopteri; Cyprinodontiformes; Goodeidae. The record is from the annotation of a GenBank genome assembly.
GACGCAUGGUGGUGUAGUUGGUAGCACUGUGGCUUUUUACCAGAAGGUCCUAGGUUCAAAUCCUAGCCUAGUCU